UCCCGUUUAACACGGGCAGUCUCUUAUGAAAGUAUAACAUAAGACAAGGGUUGCGCUCGUUCGCGGACCUAACCGAACACCUCAAGGCACGAGCUGACGACAACCAUGCAGCGCCUGUCACCGAGUUCCUUGCGGCACUCCCCUGUUUCCAGGAGAUUCUCGGGAUGUCAAGCCUUGGUAAGGUUCCUCGUUUUGUGUCGAAUUAAACAACAUGCUCCACCGCUUGUGUGGGUCCCCGUCUAUUCCUUUGAGUUUUAAUCUUGCGACCGUACUUCCCAGGCGGAAUACUUAACGCGUUAGCUAAGGCACUGGCGGGAUCGAUCCGCCAACACCGAGUAUUCAUCGUUUACGGCGUGGACUAC
Molecule: unclassified non-coding RNA, 362 nt
Filed under: uncultured bacterium
Lineage: Bacteria
Description: contains 16S-23S intergenic spacer region
Source: RNAcentral